GGAAGAAAACUUUUUUUUUAAAUACCUAUCUUUACAUAAACUGCCUCAAUUGCAUCAAGAAAUUUUUUUCAGGGCCGAUAAGGGACCAUCCAUGAACACCGUGGAAACAUAGGCGGUAUAUGGAUGGCCCCUUGUCUAUUUUCCAGCAUUUUUCCUAGCUCCCAACGAUUCUCAAAGUCAAAAUCGCCUUCAUUUUCUCAAAAUUUAGAUCGGGUUGCCCAUCCCAAACUUGAGUAGUUUCUAUUUUAGCGAUUUUAGCCAGAUACAAUAUUUUACCCAAAAUAAAGAUGUCCUGUCUAAGCGUGCAUUUAACCUCAGCCACAGGGCACGAAACGUCACUUCGCGACUUCGCCAUAUCAACACAUUUCAUUAUUUCCUAAAACAAAUAGACAGAGCAACCUGAGGACGAUCGUCUCGGUCGGAAGCAUCAUCUAAGGCCACCGGGAUUCUAACUUUGCUUGUGGUUUCGCUGAAGUUUUUGGGGAAAAGUUGUUCCGACAACCCCACUCUUCUGGACACGGGGCACGUUGUUGAACGUUUCUUCCGUAGCCAUUUGACCACCCGAAGACAAGCCAAUCCUGAUCAUUGCAGCCUGAGGAAUCAUUUCCCAAUGUGUAACUGUUUGAAGCUGGCUGCAGCCCUCGGCGGUCAAGUCGGACACUUUUGAAUCGGAGGAUCAUUGCAAGGUUUGGCUCUCGGUUCCAGUAGCUGUUCAAAAUGGAAUCAGCUUCCGCAUCGAAGGCCCUGCUGUGGAAACAAGACGUGAGCAUUUCGUCUGGACAGGUUGGACACAGCCGAACCGGAACCGGCUUCGGUUAUACGUCAGCGUCUUCAGUCCAAGAGUUUCUGCCAUAAUAUUCAGGUGAGUACAUUCCGCACUGCUAAAAUCACAUAAUCUCGCUUAAUAAUCUGCCACGAGAUUGCAAUACAAAUGAAUUCUUAUUUCUGUUGCUCCGUUGAAUCUAAAAAUCGAUGCAAUUUUUUAAAUGCUUUUUUUCUCCUGAAUAUUAGAGUAUUUUAUAAUAUACAUCUUUAGUACUUUUUUUUAGCUUUAAUAAACAUCGCGAGUCGAUCUGAUCUUUUCGAUCAAACAAGUGAACGAAUGUUUUGAGUUUCAUUUUGCAAGUUUUGAUCAAACGCGUCAGUUCGAUUAAAAUGUUCAUAUGAAUGCGUUCCAUCUAACUGUUUGUACCAAUCAAAACGGUUCACCAAGAUUUAAAACAGUCCUGUACAUUCUA
Molecule: long non-coding RNA, 1238 nt
Organism: Culex quinquefasciatus (southern house mosquito)
Lineage: Eukaryota; Metazoa; Arthropoda; Insecta; Diptera; Culicidae
Exons: 3
Source: RefSeq, a predicted model, not a curated record